GUGCCAGCCGCCGCGGUAAUACCGGCAGCCCAAGUGAUGGCCGAUCUUAUUGGGCCUAAAGCGUCCGUAGCUGGCCGCGCAAGUCCAUCGGAAAAUCCACCCGCCCAACAGGUGGGCGCCCGGUGGAAACUGUGCGGCUUGGGACCGGAAGGCGCGACGGGUACGUCCGGGGUAGGAGUGAAAUCCCGUAAUCCUGGACGGACCGCCGAUGGCGAAAGCACGUCGCGAGAACGGAUCCGACUGUGAGGGACGAAAGCCAGGGUCUCGAACCGGAUUAGAAACCCCAGUAGUCC
RNAcentral lists this ribosomal RNA (293 nucleotides) under uncultured bacterium. Its description in RNAcentral is "partial 16S ribosomal RNA". It matches the Rfam family "Archaeal small subunit ribosomal RNA", at positions 455 to 747 of the family's 1478-position model. The record is from RNAcentral.